GCACAGGGAAAGGAGAUGAAAGUGAAUGUUUGAAAUAAACAGGACAGCCCAACUCGGACUAAGAGAAGAAAAACACAAAUGCAGAGACCUGUGACAUCUGAUGGGCUGAGUGACCUGAUGAAGUUUUGGAUCGGGUGGAAACUACCAACAAGAAACCUCAGUGUGGAGGUAGUAACUUCAGCUUCUCCAGUGGCUCUCACCUGCUUCUUCAAGUUGAAGCUCCCCGGCCACUACCAGACCUACAGGACGUUUCACCAGGACUUGGUGAUGGUCCUGAGGUCCAUAAGUUCUUGCUUUGGACUUGUGUAGAGGCAAAUGACAUCAACUUGUUGCUGUCAUUCCCUCUUGUAAAAUGAUAUCCCUUUAAAAAAAGAGCAAUUACUUCUGAA
Xiphophorus couchianus (Monterrey platyfish) is the source of this 389-nucleotide long non-coding RNA. RefSeq lists it as uncharacterized. The record is from RefSeq and is a predicted model, not a curated record. The transcript is spliced from 2 exons. Lineage: Eukaryota; Metazoa; Chordata; Actinopteri; Cyprinodontiformes; Poeciliidae.